CAAACACAAUCCUCUGAGAGAAGCCUCUAAUCUUCAAGGACCUUGUGGCUCGCCUGGCACAGGCUGGGUGGGAGAAAUCCUAUACCUUUUCCCUCUCUCUUCUCCUUGAUUUCUUCCCUAUAUAUUGAUUAAACCAUCAUAUAUUUCCAAACUGACUUGGGUAUUUUAUUGGGGAUAUCCCCUGGUGACCAAAAAUCAGAUUUAGAUUAGGUCACAACCCUAAAUUAUCCUUACAUAUCCCUGGUCCCCUUAUCUCACCACCAUUUACACCCUGACAAUCCUCAAUUUGGAUCUCUCUCAUUAUUCACCUUCUUUGAUCCUUCUUCCCAUACUACUAAGUGUCAAUGGAAGAAGUAACACUACCUUUCCACUGUGUUCUACUGGAAAUAUGUUAUUUAAUGUCGAUUGGGCCCACCUUGCUCUACCUCAAUCCUUUUAUUUUUUGCUAGUUGACAUUUUUCAUUCUUUAAAGCUUCUGCUCCAAGCCUUCUCUCUCCUGUAGCUUCUUAUACAUUUCAGAUUCUUGUGAGCAACAAUUAGAACCAAGAAGCUGGACCGUUAGCCUAGUUGUUGGCAUGGGAGGUCAAGUAUGCUUUUCUCCUCUAAGUUUCAGAAACUGGUAUUCCCUUGCCUUGUACCCUAUAGUCUUUUGCCAGUCUAUACCUCCAAACAACAUGGUGGAGAAGUGAUCCCAAAAAAGGGUAGAAGAUCAGAGUUGCUGACCCACCCUCUCCUCUUUUAAACUCUAUAACCAGAGGAGUUGCCCACUGUAAGGAUCACCUGCUUCUCAUCUCCCUUAUGGUCCUCAAACCAUAAAGUAUGAAAACUGCUAUCUCCAUAGAGAUGUGAGCCAAUGACUACACUUCUUAUCUUUCCCAGGGUUCACUGUCUUCCUCUAUAAGCCCAAUGGGGGCAUAGGUUGAGCUCUCUGGAGAAUGAUCCUCUACACCCCUUGACUUAAUUUGUCCAUAGUGCUAGGAUUACAUGUUAAAGCUCUGCCUACUUGCCUCAACUCCCAUUUUUAUGGAGCAAAUCAUCCAUCAUGAAUUUCUUCAUCUCUCUUCCUUUGCAGCUUAAAAUCACUAUAUAUCCUCACCUGUAUUUUCCUUUGUUUCUGUGUAGCUCUUUGUCAAGUCUAACUCCACAAGUCAAUCAACCAAAGAGAAUUUGUUAAGUACCUACUUUGUACUAAUCACUAGGGAUUCAAGAUCAAAGAAUGAAACAAUUCUUAUUCUCAAAUAUAAGCUCUUUUAAAUUGGAGCACAGUUCAUUGGAAAGUGUUUCGGAAGUUAGAAGAUCUAGGUUCAAAAACCACUUUAGACACUUAUUAGCUGUAUAAUUUGAGUCAUAUUCUCAAAUGGGAAGCAUUUUAUAUAGGGAAGUACCAUCCAGCUCUUAAGCUAUGACCUAUGCUUCUAUAGUGAUUUGAAGCAUAAUUUUACUACAUAUAAUUUUCACUUCAUCAUAUCCCCUCCAAUCUCCUCUGGAAUCUUGCCCCAGUGAUCAUUCUCUUCCUCUUCUUCAUGUUUAAACUUUCACUUACACUGGCUCCUUCCUUUCCUGUUGUCCAUAUCUCCCUGGUCUUUGAGGAAGAAAAAACAAACAAGCAAACAAACAAACCAACCUUCACUUGCCGGUGCUUUCUCCUUAAGCUAUUGUUCUAGAUUUCUCUUUCCUGUCAAUGUGUAACUCCUAGAAAGAAAUGUCUCUUUUUACUACUCCCCUUUCCUUUUUACCCACUG
This is a long non-coding RNA of Monodelphis domestica (gray short-tailed opossum), 1742 nucleotides long. NCBI's taxonomy places the organism in Eukaryota, Metazoa, Chordata, Mammalia, Didelphimorphia, Didelphidae. The record is from Ensembl.